CGAUAGCGUAUAUUAAAGUUGUUGCAGUUAAAAGCUCGUAGUUGAACUUCUGCUUUAAGGGAUCUGGCAAAUAUGUUCAGUUGUACUUUAGAGCAUCCCCUUUGAUGACGCGGCAUGCACUUGGUUGAGCAGUCGUUGAUUCUAGGAAUUUACUUUGAAAAAUUAGAGUGUUUCAAGCAGGCGAUUAGCUGGAAUACAUUAGCAUGGAAUAAUAAUAUAGGAUCUUGGUUCUAUUUUGUUGGUUUCUAGAGCUAAGAUAAUGAUUAAUAGGGACAAUUGGGGGCAUUCGUAUUGACGAGUCAGAGGUGAAAUUCUUGGAUUUCGUCACGACGAACUACUGCGAAAGCAUUUGCCAAGGAUGUUUUCAUUGAUCAAGAACGAAAGUAAGGGGAUCGAAGAUGAUCAGAUACCGU
RNAcentral lists this ribosomal RNA (413 nucleotides) under uncultured eukaryote. RNAcentral's name for it is "bacterial SSU rRNA". It matches the Rfam family "Eukaryotic small subunit ribosomal RNA", at positions 592 to 1018 of the family's 1831-position model. The record is from RNAcentral.